UGGGGAAUAUUGCACAAUGGGCGCAAGCCUGAUGCAGCCAUGCCGCGUGUGUGAAGAAGGCCUUCGGGUUGUAAAGCACUUUCAGCGGGGAGGAAGGCGUUAAGGUUAAUAACCUUGGCGAUUGACGUUACCCGCAGAAGAAGCACCGGCUAACUCCGUGCCAGCAGCCGCGGUAAUACGGAGGGUGCAAGCGUUAAUCGGAAUUACUGGGCGUAAAGCGCACGCAGGCGGUCUGUCAAGUCGGAUGUGAAAUCCCCGGGCUCAACCUGGGAACUGCAUUCGAAACUGGCAGGCUAGAGUCUUGUAGAGGGGGGUAGAAUUCCAGGUGUAGCGGUGAAAUGCGUAGAGAUCUGGAUGAAUACCGGUGGCGAAGGCGGCCCCCUGGACAAAGACUGACGCUCAGGUGCGAAAGCGUGGGGAGCAAACAGG
RNAcentral lists this ribosomal RNA (429 nucleotides) under Chloroflexota bacterium. RNAcentral describes it as "Chloroflexi bacterium partial 16S ribosomal RNA". It matches the Rfam family "Bacterial small subunit ribosomal RNA", at positions 355 to 776 of the family's 1533-position model. The record is from RNAcentral. Lineage: Bacteria; Bacillati; Chloroflexota.